This 250-nucleotide ribosomal RNA is filed under the name uncultured Chroococcidiopsis sp. RNAcentral describes it as "partial 16S ribosomal RNA". It matches the Rfam family "Bacterial small subunit ribosomal RNA", at positions 796 to 1044 of the family's 1533-position model. Lineage: Bacteria; Bacillati; Cyanobacteriota; Cyanophyceae; Chroococcidiopsidales; Chroococcidiopsidaceae. The record is from RNAcentral.
CUAGCUGUAAACGAUGGAUACUAGGCGUUGAGAGUAUCGACCCUCUCAGUGUCGUAGCUAACGCGUUAAGUAUCCCGCCUGGGGAGUACGCGCGCAAGCGUGAAACUCAAAGGAAUUGACGGGGGCCCGCACAAGCGGUGGAGUAUGUGGUUUAAUUCGAUGCAACGCGAAGAACCUUACCAGUGCUUGACAUGUCCGGAACCCUGCCCAAAGGCGGGGGUGCCUACGGGAACCGGAACACAGGUGGUGC